UAGAAGGUGAAAACCAAGGACCUAGGAAA
RNAcentral lists this non-coding RNA (29 nucleotides) under Homo sapiens (human). Lineage: Eukaryota; Metazoa; Chordata; Mammalia; Primates; Hominidae. The record is from RNAcentral.